This 345-nucleotide unclassified non-coding RNA is filed under the name soil metagenome. Its description in RNAcentral is "partial contains 5.8S ribosomal RNA, internal transcribed spacer 2, and large subunit ribosomal RNA". The stretch from base 1 to 120 matches the Rfam family "5.8S ribosomal RNA", at positions 35 to 154 of the family's 154-position model. The record is from RNAcentral.
GAUGAAGAACGUAGCGAAAUGCGAUACGUAAUGUGAAUUGCAGAAUUCAGUGAAUCAUCGAGUCUUUGAACGCACAUUGCGCCCCCUGGUAUUCCGGGGGGCAUGCCUGUCCGAGCGUCAUUGCUGCCCUCAAGCACGGCUUGUGUGUUGGGCCUCCGUCCUCCUCCCGGGGGACGGGCCCGAAAGGCAGCGGCGGCACCGCGUCCGGUCCUCGAGCGUAUGGGGCUUCGUCACCCGCUCUUGUAGGCCCGGCCGGCGCUUGCCGACACAUCAAUCUUUUUUCCAGGUUGACCUCCGAUCAGGUAGGGAUACCCGCUGAACUUAAGCAUAUCAAUAAGCGGAGGA